AGGUCCAGCGGCACCGUGUUUUCUCUUGUCUUCGCCUCUGAAAUGCUCUGAAACCUUUUUUCCACGGUACGUUUUGUGAGCAGUGUUGCCGAGUCGACUAACGUCAGGAUGCACAAGGUGAGACCAGCGUGGGAUCUUUUUAAGAAUAAAUCUCACAUUUUCAUUCAACACACUCUGUUUCUUUUCGCGCCCUUGAACUGUCAAAAUGUCUUGUUUUUUGUUUGAUCUAUGACGGCUGCCUCAAUACAAACAUUUGCACACAAUACACGCAUGUAUAAAAGCAGAGCGACACUCAAAGGAUGGAGAAGAAAAGCAGAACACGGUUUCGUUGAAGAAAGAAACAGAAGAAAGAAAAGAACAGAAAACAGAAGAAAAGGAUCUACGAUGGCAUUGAUCCCAACGUCAAUUUCUGUGAUCUAACGUGAAGCGCAAAUCCUUUACGACUAGAAACAUUGCCCAUAGUGCAAUGAAUGCUGGUUAUAGUUGUUUCACACCGAUGGGAAGUAGGAGCAGAGUAGUGCUCGGAGGCAUCUGCUACUCUUCCCUCAACGGCUGGAAGCGACGCACCACACCCAAGCGUUCUGGCCGGACCAGCCCUUAGUUAAGCUGCUAUAGGCUUAGAAUGCCGGGGGAAUUCUUAGGACACACCGAGCUCCUCUCUCACGCUCUCUUUCUACCAUAAUUCAAGUUUUAUUAAUGCACAUGACUAAUUCAGCUUCUUUCCGGGAGUUUUUUUUGUGCUUUCGCCCCUAUCAGGUCUCCAUAGAUCGUGGUUCCUUCGGGACCCUGGUCCUGACACCUACCGUGGCCAUGCUGACGCCUGCUGCUGCCAUCAUCAUCAUCAUCAUCAUCAUUAUUUUAGAUAUUAAUCAUAUUACUUUACUCAUAAACCGACAUUACCCUCUCCUAAAGUCUCUGUGCUCUCCCUCCCCACAGGAUUCUGUGGAUGGUGGUUCUAUCUGAUGGUGGUUGCCCCUGCAGUGGUCCUGCUGUGCGCCUGGCUUACUACUCACAAUUACUUGAAUCAUUUCUGUCAUAGGAAUUGCAUGUAUUAUACAUUGUUCAUUCUGUACACAUGGCAUCCAUUGUAGUCUGUCCAUCCCGGGAGUGGGAUCCCUCCUCUGACGUUCUCCCUAAGGUUUCUUCCCUUUUUUCCCUCUUGUAAGGGUUUUUUCAUUUUUUGGGGAGUUUUUCCUGUGCCGAUGGUGGGUUUCGGGGCAGAGGAUGUCGUAUGUGUACAGACUGUAAAGCCCUCUGAGGCAAAUUUGUAAUUUGCGAUUCUGGGCUAUACAAAAUAAAAUGACUUGACUUGACUUGACUUGGCCUUUGCUCGGUUCCGCUUCGGUCCAUAUCACCUUCACUCAAAGGGUGUUUAUUGCCAUUUUCCCUGCACACGCGCCGCACACUCCGGCGACUUCAAACGCCAUAUUUCCUCUUAUUGUUACAGUUGUGAUGAAUCACAUCACCAGAGCUGUUAAUUGGUCUCCUAGCAACAGCAAACAAAACAUCAGCAAUACUGUUUUGCGCACCGUUGACUAAGUCAGAGGAAGACAGCGUAAGCCUGGACACCAAAUGCAUCAAAGAUAAUACAUUUUCAUAUCAUUUUUAGAUUGUUUAGGUGGUUGUAACUAUGUGGUUAUGUCGCAGUGUGUGCAGGCUCAGUGAUGGAGGAUGCUCGCUGUUAGAGACUAUAGCGCUCAGGGUUCUUUCAGUCGCAGUGAUAGAUUUUAGGAGACUGAGAAAUCAAAACCAUUUGUCAACAUCGACAGCUGUGCCGGCAGUAAAAGGAGGAAACCUCCUGACACACUAGACCGACUUAUGAGGCAUUGGGCCUUUCGGGAGGGACGAAGAACUCAUUUUCUCUGCUUUGUUCACGUUUUCGUCAUCAAACUGCUGAGUCAGCACGGAAAAUUAAAAGUCACCGUCGUGUCUGGGAGGUUUUCCUUCAUGCGCUAUUUUGCUGAAAGCCAGCCCCCGUGCACGCUGUUACUUUAAAGAAUAGUCUAUCGAUUUUAGAUAAGUAAGGACUUUAACAUAAGGCCUGGUCUAAUACGAUAUGUUUUCUGCUGAUAAAUUAGCGUAUUUUUGCAUUAAAUUGAUUCAGAACCAGAUUCUCACCCACUCCUGACAUGAAAUGAAUGACCUUCACACUUCCUAUUUGCAGGAAAUGCAUUGUGUGCACAGGAUUGUGGGUGUUUUAGGUGUGCAGCCGAUACAAAGAAGCAUCUUUGAAAAUCCUCUGAACAAAGAACUUAAAGAACUUAAAGAAGAGCUGUUUGAUAAGGCGGUUCCUGAGCGUCAGGAGUCUCGUUUGUGUGUUGUGUUACUGUAAUAUGUCUCGAAAACGCCGUUUGACCCGUCCGCGGUCACCGAUACAGAAAAGCUGUGGAAAGGGGCCCGAGCGCUGCUCUGACAGCUGAUCCCCCGAGGCAGACAUGGUUGAAGAUUAACGGCCGUUGAACUUCUUUCGUGGAGGCGCAUUCUGAAAGGGGAAAACGUUUAUUGCUUUAAAAUGUUGAUUGCUUGACGCUCAAUCAUCCCUGAGACCUUUCGUGUGCGCUGUUGUGUUCGAUGUGCGGUCUUCUGCAGCUAACUGCCGCACCUCGGGGCGACAGAAAAACAACACUCCUUUCUCAUUCCAUAAUUUUCUCUGUGCAAUGAAAACAAAGCGAAGCGGUUUUAUUUCACUUGGCGGUCGUUGUGAACGCGGUGGAACGUAAAAAAAAAAAUAAAAGGAUCAAACUUGAUUUAAGAAUACGUUCCAUCGCCUCUGUCGUGGAUAAUUAGGUGCCUCGGCUGCAGGUGAGCGGAUGGAGAAAAGUCCACCGCGAGCCUCAUCAGCAUGUGCAGGAGGACAGCGUGUCCGUGACAAACGACUCUGCGACGCCUCACUGAGCGCGCGCAAAUAGAGUGUAAAAUAUCCAGAACACUGAGCCGGAGAGUUCCAGAGCGAACGAGGAACAACUGGGAUUCAUUUAUUAAAGAAAUGGAAGUUCUUUAAAAGACUGGGAAGAAACAGCUAAGCUUUCACAGCAUAUCAAUUUCUAUAAAUUCAGCUCAGACAGGCCCUCAAGCUCAAUUAAAUGAACAUGAACAUUUUUUGGAGAUGCAUAGAAAGCUGCAAAAGGGGAGUUUCUUUUACUGGACGCAGAGUGUGUUUUUUUAUUCCAAAAGCAACUUGCUGCUGGAAUAACUAAUGCGUUUGAAAACGCCGUCAUCCUCAAACUUCUGAGCUCAUCUAGCGGUUCAUUAACGCCUCAAAGCGAACAGGAUCUGGUCCAAAAGCAGCCGCUAUCUGCCAAAAGCUGCCCGUGUUCAAACCUGUGAGAUAGAGCUAGUUACAGGGAACGAAACAUUAAGAAACACCACACACUUCUGAGGCCUUUAUUGCUCAAUUAUAAUACGGGUAGAUGAAAUCCGGCACUCUGAUUGGUUGAGAGUGAGUCACGGGGAGUGCUUUACUGACCCAUGAUGUACUGUACCUGUUUACAUUGACCCGAGCGUUCCAUAUCGCUGCACACUCAAAUUAAGAGUUUGCGCGACCGUGAAAGUUGUCUUUUCAGUUUUUAGCUGGUUUGCGAUUGCCGGGAAAAGACCGGAAAACGCAGCAAAUGACCGGUUUCCGGAUCCUUUUAGCCAAAGAGGAUAAUUCAGGUGGUCGUUAUAUGAUGUGAAUGAAUGAGAUGGUGCGAGAUCCAAAAUCGACGUCCUAGCUAAUCAUCAACAAAAGCAUUGGAAAAGUUAUGUUUCCAAUGCUGUUUCUCUGUUGCGCGGCAACUUCUCUACGCUCAUGAAAUGCGACACACAACAUUUGGUGCUGAAAGGCAGCUAUUUACUUCCUAUUUAUAAGCAACCGUAUUAUAAAAGCACUCGAGGCAGUACUUCAUCGUCAGUGGAAUUUGAAAACACAGCAGCUCACACGUUGUGGCACUCAUCUCACCGACUUUGUGCAGAGUUAAGCUGCGAUGUCGACAUGAUGUCAGAGCACCUCGUGAGUCUUUACUCUACGUCGUCGCGACUCAUCUGCUUUAAAGCAGACGUCUCCGGGUUGAGCCGUCCGGCGCUCCGGCGUGUUUACGCCACGGGAGCUGCUGGCGUCGCAGAGCUGUCACCGGCGUCCCUCCCGACUCCUUAGCGACCAGAAACGUCUUCACCGCCCGGGGCCGUCACGUUAGGCCUCACUGCACAUCCCGUCCUUUGUCUCAAUGAUGAAAGCAACACGCCUGUGUGGGCGACACGGAGGUGAUGGUUCACUGCGCUGAUCUCGCCUCAUGUGUUCAGGUCAUCGUCUCAGGCAACAUUUUACCUGGACGCUAAGCUGCAUCGCUGCAAUCGAGCUUCUCUAAAUGAUCAUUUUGAAAACGCUCAACCAUUUUCAAUCAAAUCCAUGAAAUUUGUGGAGCUUGCUGGGGACGAGUAAUGACCUCGAAGCACUGAGGUUUCUUUGUUCUGGAAACAUCACUAUGUAGAAUAAUAUUACUGUGGUUCGAACGUAGUUCUUUGUCAAUUCAUUGCACUUGUCUGUUCAUGUUAGGUGUUUAAAAUCUACAAACCCCUGAACCACAGGGACUAAGGGGGGGAUCCCAUUCUAAUGCAAUGACUACUGGACACAUGGAGUAUAAUUAAACAAAGCUUUAGUCCACUUACCAAGAAUUAUUUAUUAGAGAGUUCCUUAAAAAUUCUAAUUUUGUUUGAGAGGAGAAAAAACUCCUCCAAGUCAGGUAGAGACCUGUCAAUCUCAAGGUAGCCCCGCCCUAAAGCCUGCUUCAUGGUCUGUUUGACUCUGAAUGGACCAUCAUUUACUAAAUAAACAUCAUGCUGUAUUGAAGAAGACUUAAAACUAGAGAUUGAGUCCAUAAACUCGUGUUCGUAGCGUUUCUCAUAGACUCAUUUCCAUCCUUUUAUGGGUAAACAUACAAAAGCGCAAACAGACCUUUGAAACUUACUACUGAGAGAUUUUCAUUCCCCUUCAAUGAGGAAAGACAAUCAACGAGCCGCGAGGAGGAAGAAGAGGAGGAAUCAAAGACGCACCAGAGGAACCAGUGGAACCAGUGGAACCUGGAGUUUGUCAUUCAAACGAAAGUGCAAAGGCAUGACGCGGAGCGGACACUUGAUUUAUAAAGCCACAAAGAAAAAGAAAGUCUUGCUGAAUCACUCAACGACAAAACAGAUCACAAUAAAUCAGGAUGCAGUUUCUUAAGGAGCCUGAAAUCACCUUUGAUGCAUUGUAUUGGUAAAGAAACUGAGUCACAACUCCUGACAAAUAGAUCUGGUAAUUGUAACAAUCCAUCAGUCGGGAAAAGAGACAAACAAGGCGUGCCGACCUUCCUUCCAGCUUUACUCCCGUCUCCUCUAAUUGCUCCACUCUUAAAUUGUUGUGUUUGUAGCCGUGUAGUUUUUCUGUAUCCCUUAUUCAUCGAAUCUUCCCACAAAAGUCUCAGCUGAUUUUCACCGGAGAGACACAUUUUAAUUGGAUUAAUCUGUAAAAACAAACACAGCCCUUGAGAGUGUGCGAUGACCUGAAGGGAAAAAAAGUUUUCAACCUUGUGAAGAUUUCUGACUCUCGACAGCAACCAAAGACUCAGCAAACGCUGGAUAACUGAAAACUGUACUUGCGAUUAAACGGCACAUCGACUGGCAUCUGUGCUUUCUGUGCAGAAAGAUGUUGACCAGCAGCACAGAGGACCGUCUUCUCUCUCCUCAAGUGUUCCAGCACGUAGAAAACCGGACGAGGCGACGGCCCACGUGGGUCGUGGACCCCCGGGGUUGCACGGGAGGCCCGGCGCUGACCUCAGAGGCUGUGUGAUGCUCGGGUUUUGGAGACGAUGACGACUGAAAGAGGGAAGAGGAGCCACGCUCACACACAAAGCCCAGCAGACGCCCGUCCUCCACCGCUCGAGGGCAGGACCUGAAGUCUCCUCUGAGGGUUUGAAACGGGGGGGAGAUGUUUUUCCGGCCGAGGCCACGGCCUUCGAGCGGAGGGAAUAUUCAGCGUGACGGCGUGCAUUUAGUUAUAGUCCAUGUGUAGCCGGGGACCAGCGUUUAUUUCACCAUGACUCUACUGCGCUAAAAGACGACGCACACGUUUCCACAUGAAGCUCUUCUCCUGCAGUCGAAGGCUCAGGUCUUUUUUCCACUUAUCUCUGCCCAGCGACAACUACCUGCAGCUGAACGUUAGAAAUGCUUUGCUUUGACGUUGCAUUAAACCCACAACGCGAAAUAAUGAUCUGGGGUGAAUGAUUUAAAUAUGUUGAGGCUGUGUGCAAUUUAAAGACACAACGCUAAACUUGUUGUCUGGGUUCUAAAGUUCAUGUUUUUGUGAUGAUGCCAAACUGCCAGGGCUUCUCGUGCAGCUUUAAAUAAGCAGCGGUGUCUCCUUACGUCGCUACGUGGCCUUCCAAAGCUCAUCAGCCGGCAUCACGAGGGAGAUCGAGAGAAAAGGAAAUCCAGGUGAGGCGCUUCUGCCUCGACGCCGACUGAGCUCCAGCCGCAAAGCGUUAGCCGUCUCCAUCGGGGAUUAUUUCAAUCGCUGGUCGCUGGUUCUGGAUCCUUCCUUAAUCCUCUCCGAUGAGUGACAUCAGAAUAAGGCGGGUUUUUUUUGGCUUUGUGCUCGAUAUGCUUCGCCACGUGCGCGUCACAGAGCCCUCUGCCCGAAGCCGCCUGGAAGGUGAUGGCGUUCUGAAACUAUUAGACUCGCCCAAGAAUAUUAUUAUUGAUUUUGAUCUUGAGCUACGGCCUGUUGAAUGCACCGGCUUGUUUUUCUCACCAGCAAACAGCAGUCGUGGGAGCUAUCGUUCAGCACUAAUGACAUCAUUGCAGGGAUGCCUUGUCCACUGCUGAACGGCUGAGGUAAAUAUAUUUAUUUAUCUCUUUCCCAGACAGGUUCGAGGGGGGAGAGGAGAUUACCUGUCGAGAUUAUGCCCAAUGAUUAAUGUUUGUUUGGGUAUGGCGAGAUAAUGCGCAUUUGAUUUAAUGACUAGAAUGAAUCGCUUCUUUGCGACUUGCAAUUGCAGACCGGGUUCUUUUAGGAGGGGGGGGGGGUACUAAACGUGGAAGAUUAAAUCACCAAAAUCUGGCUAAAAAGACCCCUUUGUUAAUUCUUGACAAUAAUGUCUUGUUUCACACUCACAAUCCAUGAAAGAUAAAGUGCCUGUGUGCGUGCGUGUUCUUUCUCCAUCUGUCUAAGUCGACUUGUGGAUGUCUAGAUGCAAUUUGGGGGGGGGGUUGAAAUCACAGCCUCAUUCUUUCUUGCAUAUUUCACUGGAAUACACAAGUGCUGCUCAGCACAGACAAAAAUACACCAACCGUUAAUGAUGCCCCCGCGGCUUCAAGCGGGCUGCAAUCAACUCCUUUUUCAUCAAAGUACUCUUUAAAGGUGCCUCGCUGAUUUCACAUGUAUGUAUAUAUAAAUAUAUACCACCCAAGCUCAGUCUCAUGGAUGCAUUGUGCCUCACGCCAUUAGAAGUAUGUCAUGCAAUGAAAGUGGGUGAUGUGAGUUUCCCCGGCCCAACAUGAGACGUGAGCAGAUACUGUUUGUUCCUGCGGCGGAAGCCUCAAGCCGACUUCCAUCAGUGGCCCCGUGUUCCCGCAACCAUCUCCUCCGCGGUGUGUCCCCAGCGUAUUAGUGGCAUUUAAAUGAAGCGAGCCGAGAGGCUGCAGUAAGCUCAGACAACCAGAAGUGAUGGAGCACCACUACCCUGCAUCCAGCCUGCAGUCAGCCGCCCCCCCCCCCCCCCCACCAUGAGAGGGAAACUACUAAUAAAUGAGUUACUCCAGCUGUUUGGCUCCUCGGUG
Molecule: long non-coding RNA, 7794 nt
Organism: Gasterosteus aculeatus aculeatus (three-spined stickleback)
Lineage: Eukaryota; Metazoa; Chordata; Actinopteri; Perciformes; Gasterosteidae
Source: Ensembl